GGAAGGGUGCGAGAGUGGUUGAAUCGGGCAGUCUUGAAAACUGCUGUGGGAGAGAUCUCACCGUGGGUUCGAAUCCCACCCCUUCCGCCA
Molecule: transfer RNA, 90 nt
Filed under: bacterium
Lineage: Bacteria
Description: tRNA-Ser
Rfam family: tRNA
About the family: Transfer RNA (tRNA) molecules are approximately 80 nucleotides in length. Their secondary structure includes four short double-helical elements and three loops (D, anti-codon, and T loops). Further hydrogen bonds mediate the characteristic L-shaped molecular structure. tRNAs have two regions of fundamental functional importance: the anti-codon, which is responsible for specific mRNA codon recognition, and the 3' end, to which the tRNAs corresponding amino acid is attached (by aminoacyl-tRNA synthetases). tRNAs cope with the degeneracy of the genetic code in two manners: having more than one tRNA (with a specific anti-codon) for a particular amino acid; and 'wobble' base-pairing, i.e. permitting non-standard base-pairing at the 3rd anti-codon position.
Source: RNAcentral